UAGUUGAGGGAAAGAGAGUUUUGGGGAGCCCUUCUCCUUGGAAUUCUAGGGAGAGGACAUCUUAUUCUUAUUGGAUCACGCACAGUGCCUGAAGCAUUCUGUUGCAUGUAGAAAUCAGUAAAUUGCAGAUGUAAGAUUCAAAACGAGACUUCACAUCUACCGACUUCAGUGAUCCUGAAAUUUGUCCACAGAGAGCAUUUAACAUAACUGUCUUCAUCAUCUCCUUCUCUAAUUAAAAACUAUGGAAAAUACAGGGAGGUGUGGUGUACCCAUUAUCACAAGCAGAUGGAAUCCCUAUAGAGUCAGAUCUCAUCUACAUAUCACCUAUUAUAUGUAGUUAUUGAUGGAUAAAUACUUCAACAACUAAAGGCAGAAAGAGAGCAGUUCACAAAGACAUUAUUGGUGAUUCAAUCUUGAGUCA
This 421-nucleotide long non-coding RNA is filed under the name Pongo abelii (Sumatran orangutan). RNAcentral's name for it is "lincRNA". Lineage: Eukaryota; Metazoa; Chordata; Mammalia; Primates; Hominidae. The record is from RNAcentral.